RNAcentral lists this ribosomal RNA (465 nucleotides) under uncultured bacterium. Its description in RNAcentral is "bacterial SSU rRNA". It matches the Rfam family "Bacterial small subunit ribosomal RNA", at positions 338 to 795 of the family's 1533-position model. The record is from RNAcentral.
CCUACGGGUGGCACCAGUGGGGAAUAUUGCACAAUGGGCGCAAGCCUGAUGCAGCCAUGCCGCGUGUAUGAAGAAGGCCUUCGGGUUGUAAAGUACUUUCAGCGGGGAGGAAGGUGUUGUGGUUAAUAACCACGGCAAUUGACGUUACCCGCAGAAGAAGCACCGGCUAACUCCGUGCCAGCAGCCGCGGUAAUACGGAGGGUGCAAGCGUUAAUCGGAAUUACUGGGCGUAAAGCGCACGCAGGCGGUCUGUCAAGUCGGGUGUGAGAUCCCCGGGCUCAACCUGGGAACUGCAUUCGAAACUGGCAGGCUAGAGUCUUGUAGAGGGGGGUAGAAUUCCAUGUGUAGCGGUGAAAUGCGUAGAGAUGUGGAGGAAUACCGGUGGCGAAGGCGGCCCCCUGGACAAAGACUGACGCUCAGGCGCGAAAGCGUGGGGAGCAAACAGGAUUAGAUACCCCAGUAGUC